This 497-nucleotide ribosomal RNA is filed under the name uncultured bacterium. RNAcentral's name for it is "partial 16S ribosomal RNA". It matches the Rfam family "Bacterial small subunit ribosomal RNA", at positions 28 to 507 of the family's 1533-position model. The record is from RNAcentral.
GAUGAACGCUGGCGGCGUGCCUAAUACAUGCAAGUCGAACGCAUAGCGAAAGGUGCUUGCACCUUUCAAGUGAGUGGCGAACGGGUGAGUAACACGUGGACAACCUGCCUCAAGGCUGGGGAUAACAUUUGGAAACAGAUGCUAAUACCGAAUAAAACUUAGUGUCGCAUGACACAAAGUUAAAAGGCGCUUCGGCGUCACCUAGAGAUGGAUCCGCGGUGCAUUAGUUAGUUGGUGGGGUAAAGGCCUACCAAGACAAUGAUGCAUAGCCGAGUUGAGAGACUGAUCGGCCACAUUGGGACUGAGACACGGCCCAAACUCCUACGGGAGGCUGCAGUAGGGAAUCUUCCACAAUGGGCGAAAGCCUGAUGGAGCAACGCCGCGUGUGUGAUGAAGGCUUUCGGGUCGUAAAGCACUGUUGUAUGGGAAGAACAGCUAGAAUAGGAAAUGAUUUUAGUUUGACGGUACCAUACCAGAAAGGGACGGCUAAAUACGUG